Beta vulgaris subsp. vulgaris (sugar beet) is the source of this 270-nucleotide long non-coding RNA. RefSeq lists it as uncharacterized. Lineage: Eukaryota; Viridiplantae; Streptophyta; Magnoliopsida; Caryophyllales; Amaranthaceae. The transcript has 3 exons. The record is from RefSeq and is a predicted model, not a curated record.
CCCCACUGCACUGCCCGUCUUCUCCUUGUUACUUCACUUAGUGAAGAUUAGAAAGGAAAAGGGAUAUUACAAGCCUCACCCGGCUAUCAAGUAUAAUAAUCGCGACUCGAGGUACCGAUGGGGAUGACGCCAUGGCUUAGCAGUGAGGAAAUGUUAUUAGAAUAACUCAAACAAUUAAAGCUUUUGUAACUUAAGUACUUACUUCGUUUAAUUAACAUCAACUCUGUUUUACUUUAAUAUAACCUAGUACGUUUAAGUUCCAUGUUAUUA